RNAcentral lists this ribosomal RNA (393 nucleotides) under uncultured bacterium. RNAcentral describes it as "partial 16S ribosomal RNA". It matches the Rfam family "Bacterial small subunit ribosomal RNA", at positions 523 to 918 of the family's 1533-position model. The record is from RNAcentral.
CUACGGAAGGUCCGGGCGUUAUCCGGAUUUAUUGGGUUUAAAGGGAGCGCAGGCGGAGAUGCAAGCGUGACGUCAAAUUUUGGGGCUCAACCCCGUCUCGCGUCGCGAACUGCGUCCCUUGGUUGCGGGAAGGGGAGGCGGAACUCGUGGUGUAGCGGUGAAAUGCAUAGAUAUCACGAAGAACUCCGAUCGCGAAGGCAGCCUUCCGGCCCGUCAACGACGCUCAUGCUCGAAGGUGCGGGUAUCAAACAGGAUUAGAUACCCUGGUAGUCCGCACAGUAAACGAUGGACACCCGCGGUUUGGCCUAUAUGGCUGAGCCGCCAAGCGAAAGCGUUAAGUGUCCCACCUGGGGAGUACGCCAGCAACGGUGAAACUCAAAUGAAUUGACGGGG